GAUGAACGCUGGCGGCGUGCCUAAUACAUGCAAGUCGAGCGAAUAGACGAGGAGCUUGCUCCUUUGACGUUAGCGGCGGACGGGUGAGUAACACGUGGGUAACCUACCUAUAAGACUGGGAUAACUUCGGGAAACCGGAGCUAAUACCGGAUAAUAUUUCAAACCGCAUGGUUCGAUAGUGAAAGAUGGCUCUGCUAUCACUUAUAGAUGGACCUGCGCCGUAUUAGCUAGUUGGUAAGGUAACGGCUUACCAAGGCAACGAUCCGUAGCCGACCUGAGAGGGUGAUCGGCCACACUGGAACUGAGACACGGUCCAGACUCCUACGGGAGGCAGCAGUAGGGAAUCUUCCGCAAUGGGCGAAAGCCUGACGGAGCAACGCCGCGUGAGUGAUGAAGGUCUUCGGAUCGUAAAACUCUGUUAUUAGGGAAGAACAAACGUGUAAGUAACUGUGCACGUCUUGACGGUACCUAAUCAGAAAGCCACGGCUAACUACGUG
Molecule: ribosomal RNA, 497 nt
Filed under: uncultured bacterium
Lineage: Bacteria
Description: partial 16S ribosomal RNA
Rfam family: Bacterial small subunit ribosomal RNA
Source: RNAcentral